GGGUCAUUAGCUCAACGGCAGAGCAGUUGCCUCUUAAGCAAUUGGUUGGUGGUUCGAAUCCACCAUGACCCACCA
Molecule: transfer RNA, 75 nt
Filed under: Candidatus Melainabacteria bacterium
Lineage: Bacteria; Bacillati; Candidatus Melainabacteria
Also listed under: 1 other name
Description: tRNA-Lys
Rfam family: tRNA
About the family: Transfer RNA (tRNA) molecules are approximately 80 nucleotides in length. Their secondary structure includes four short double-helical elements and three loops (D, anti-codon, and T loops). Further hydrogen bonds mediate the characteristic L-shaped molecular structure. tRNAs have two regions of fundamental functional importance: the anti-codon, which is responsible for specific mRNA codon recognition, and the 3' end, to which the tRNAs corresponding amino acid is attached (by aminoacyl-tRNA synthetases). tRNAs cope with the degeneracy of the genetic code in two manners: having more than one tRNA (with a specific anti-codon) for a particular amino acid; and 'wobble' base-pairing, i.e. permitting non-standard base-pairing at the 3rd anti-codon position.
Source: RNAcentral